Molecule: non-coding RNA, 139 nt
Organism: Populus trichocarpa (black cottonwood)
Lineage: Eukaryota; Viridiplantae; Streptophyta; Magnoliopsida; Malpighiales; Salicaceae
Source: Rfam
UAUUUUGUCUGGGAUAGAUUCUUAUCUAAUUGUGGAUCCAUACCUGAUUGCUUAGAAUCACCCGUUAUUGUAGGCCUGAUUGCAUCAUUCUCCUCGGGUUGGAAAGAACUCGUCUUCGAGUUAUGUUCCUUAUCUAAAU